This 478-nucleotide ribosomal RNA is filed under the name uncultured bacterium. Its description in RNAcentral is "bacterial SSU rRNA". It matches the Rfam family "Bacterial small subunit ribosomal RNA", at positions 335 to 802 of the family's 1533-position model. The record is from RNAcentral.
ACUCCUACGGGAGGCAGCAGUGGGGAAUAUUGCACAAUGGGCGCAAAGCCUGAUGCAGCCAUGCCGCGUGUGUNAAGAAGGCCUUCGGGUUGUAAAGCACUUUCAGUCGUGAGGAAGGGUGAGUGUAGUUAAUAGCUGCAUUAUUUGACGUUAGCGACAGAANAAGCGACCGGCUAACUCCGUGCCAGCAGCCGCGGUAAUACGGAGGGUGCGAGCGUUAAUCGGAAUUACUGGGCGUAAAGCGCAUGCAGGUGGUUUGUUAAGUCAGAUGUGAAAGCCCGGGGCUCAACCUCGGAAUUGCAUUUGAAACUGGCAGACUAGAGUACUGUAGAGGGGGGUAGAAUUUCAGGUGUAGCGGUGAAAUGCGUAGAGAUCUGAAGGAAUACCGGUGGCGAAGGCGGCCCCCUGGACAGAUACUGACACUCAGAUGCGAAAGCGUGGGGAGCAAACAGGAUUAGAUACCCUGGUAGCUACGAGU